AUUCAUAUGGUUCUUAUCAUGUUUAAUCGUCAAAGUUGCAUUCUCUCCAAUUUGAUCGCAUAUUAAAUUAUUUAUUACUAACUAAACUUAAUACUCGAAUUCAUCUAUGAAAUCCUCAAGAUUUAUAUUAAAAUCUUUCUUUUUCCAAUAUUACUCCCACUUUUGUUAUUUAUUUUACUAACAUUUCUAACCAAUUAUUAUUCUCUAUUUAAAUUCUUACAACACCAUUUCGAAUUAUCACUAGUUAAAAAUCCCACUCUCUCUCCACAUUUUAUAAGUUACACUUCUCAAAAUAUUCUUUUUAACUCCAUUUUAUUCUUCAAAUAUUAUUAGUUAAUCUCAUUUCAUAUUUUUCACCCCAAACUUAUUCUUCCACUUCUCACUUUAUUACUAUUUUCCAAAUUUUUUGUUCUAUUAUCAAUCUUCUCAAAUUUAGCUCCAAAAUUAAUACUCCCUCCGUUUCAAAUUAGAUGUCCACUUUAAAAAAAUCACACAGUUUAAGAAAUGUUGAUUUUCACAAAUUAAUUUGCAUUAAAUGAUCAAAAUAUGUGGAGUGAGAUUGAUCUAGAAAAUAUAAAUAAGAGAUAUGAGGAGUAGAAUUGACUUUGGAAAUAUGAUUUUGCAUUGAAAGUUGAAGUGGACAAAUAAUUUGAAACAAAAGUUUUUCUUCAAGGACAUGUAAAUUGAAACGCAGGGAGUAUUUAUUAUCCCAAACUCUCAUUUCUCAACUUAUUAUUUUUAUUUUAAUUACUAUCUCAAUUAUGAAAUUACGGUAUUGCCCUCGUCACCUCCAAUCCAUCCUUUCCCCUCAUCUCUCCUCUCUCCCUCUUCCUUAACCCAUCAUCACCGCUGCCGACCGGAAAGAUUUCCGGCGGCCUGCCACCUUCACCAACAGCUCUCCCUCCUCUCCUCUCUCUCCUUCUCUCCUUUUCCCCAAAGUCGCUACUGAGGUGGUUUUGACCACCAACACCCACGACGCCAUCCGCUUCCCGAGAAGCUCUGUUCACCAUUGACGAUGAUUCCGUAGUUUCCCCACCACCCUGACUACCUACGCACACACUCGAUUCAUAAACGCCACACACACACCCAAUACACCAGUACGCACUCACCCACAUACACACACAAACCCAGUCCCUUUUCCAACAAUCAAUUCCAACCCAUCUCGCAAUAACCCAAAGCUACCAUCAAUUUUUAAUGCUUCAAUUCAUCAUUAAGAACCCUAUUUAGAUAUAUGCAUAUAAAAUCUAUACUCUCCUCAUAAAUUUGAAAGAGAAUAAGUUUAAGUUAGGUAUUUUAUAUGUAUAAAGCCAAAGCAGAGCAUAGUGUUUGC
RNAcentral lists this long non-coding RNA (1330 nucleotides) under Daucus carota (carrot). Its description in RNAcentral is "long non-coding RNA (DCAR_LNC001948)". The record is from RNAcentral. Lineage: Eukaryota; Viridiplantae; Streptophyta; Magnoliopsida; Apiales; Apiaceae.